UGGGGAAUUUUGGACAAUGGGCGAAAGCCUGAUCCAGCAAUGCCGCGUGUGUGAAGAAGGCCUUCGGGUUGUAAAGCACUUUUGUCCGGAAAGAAAUCCUUGGCUCUAAUACAGUCGGGGGAUGACGGUACCGGAAGAAUAAGCACCGGCUAACUACGUGCCAGCAGCCGCGGUAAUACGUAGGGUGCAAGCGUUAAUCGGAAUUACUGGGCGUAAAGCGUGCGCAGGCGGUUUGCUAAGACCGAUGUGAAAUCCCGGGCUCAACCUGGGAACUGCAUUGGUGACUGGCAGGCUAGAGUAUGGCAGAGGGGGGUAGAAUUCCACGUGUAGCAGUGAAAUGCGUAGAGAUGUGGAGGAAUACCGAUGGCGAAGGCAGCCCCCUGGGCCAAUACUGACGCUCAUGCACGAAAGCGUGGGGGAGCAAAACGGGAUUAGAUACCCUGGUAGUCCACGCCCUAAAGCGAUGUCAACUAGUUGUUGGGGAUUUCAUUUUCCUUAGUAACGUAGCUAACGCGUGAAGUUGACCGCCUGGGGAGUACGGUCGCAAGAUUAAAAACUUAAA
RNAcentral lists this ribosomal RNA (562 nucleotides) under uncultured bacterium. Its description in RNAcentral is "partial 16S ribosomal RNA". It matches the Rfam family "Bacterial small subunit ribosomal RNA", at positions 355 to 905 of the family's 1533-position model. The record is from RNAcentral.